UACGUAGGGGGCAAGCGUUGUCCGGAAUCAUUGGGCGUAAAGCGCGUGUAGGCGGUUACGUAAGUCUGCUGUGAAAGUCGGAGGCUCAACCUUCGAAAGCCGGUGGAUACUGCGUGACUAGAGUACGGAAGAGGAGAGUGGAAUUCCUGGUGUAGCGGUGAAAUGCGCAGAUAUCAGGAGGAACACCGGUGGCGAAGGCGGGUCUCUGGGCCGUAGCUGACGCUGAGGCGCGACAGCGUGGGGAGCAAACAGG
RNAcentral lists this ribosomal RNA (253 nucleotides) under uncultured bacterium. RNAcentral describes it as "partial 16S ribosomal RNA". It matches the Rfam family "Bacterial small subunit ribosomal RNA", at positions 524 to 776 of the family's 1533-position model. The record is from RNAcentral.